Molecule: non-coding RNA, 28 nt
Filed under: Homo sapiens (human)
Lineage: Eukaryota; Metazoa; Chordata; Mammalia; Primates; Hominidae
Source: RNAcentral
UCUCAGCUUCCCGCGACUCCCACCUCCA